GAACACUACUCGUCUGAAUCAUCUAAAUCAGAAUGUCCACGUUCCUUGAGGUGACGCUGGCCAUAGUUGACGACUCGAAUCUUGCGGUACAACUCGUAUGAAACGUAUGCAUCUUUUGCUGCAUACUCAAUGUUGAUAUCAUCAAGUGGGCCCUUCUCCCAAAGUUUGUGCUGAUACUUUGGGAAACUGGUCUUCAUAUCACCAUAUGACUCGUCGAUCAAGGCAACUGCCAUAUGAGCCAUCGAAGUCCUGUCAUGUCGAAGCCUGAAUAUCGUUUGGAGAUCAACGAGGCAACUAGCUGGUAUCUAAAUACCGAAGCUGUGCCUCGUCUUCAGCUUGUCGUUCCUUAUGUCAACGGAAGCAAAAGUGAUGCCGCUGCGAAGGAACUCCAUGAGUUCUGGACAAUGCUUGUCACUCCUGCAACAGAAACAAAUUAAAAUGGAACAAAUGUUACAUACUACUGCAAUAAGGAAACAUGUUUCACUACAACUAAAGAGAAACUUAUCUUUAGGAUUCAAAUAGAACAUAUGCAAUGGAACCUAGAGAGAUCAC
This 552-nucleotide long non-coding RNA is filed under the name Hordeum vulgare. RNAcentral describes it as "long non-coding RNA (HVUL_LNC003615)". The record is from RNAcentral. Lineage: Eukaryota; Viridiplantae; Streptophyta; Magnoliopsida; Poales; Poaceae.